AUUCCAUUGGUGAACCAGCUUAGGAAACCUUCAAGGAAACCAGUUGUAUCUACCUCAAACAAUGUCAAAUUUUCCCGUCAUGUGAUCAGUCUGGU
Long non-coding RNA from Octopus sinensis (East Asian common octopus), 95 nucleotides. RefSeq lists it as uncharacterized. The transcript is spliced from 3 exons. The record is from RefSeq and is a predicted model, not a curated record. NCBI's taxonomy places the organism in Eukaryota, Metazoa, Mollusca, Cephalopoda, Octopoda, Octopodidae.